GGAAAUGUGCCCGAAACACAAGGAUCACUUUGAUAGAGUGAAAAAUAGGGAUUAAACCCCCUCAUCUCCU
Molecule: transfer RNA, 70 nt
Filed under: Leiopelma hamiltoni
Lineage: Eukaryota; Metazoa; Chordata; Amphibia; Anura; Leiopelmatidae
Description: tRNA-Ile
Source: RNAcentral